UAGUUUUUAAUUAGUGGAGGGACAGACCCCACUUAAUGCAGAUUAUAGCUUCUCUGUGCUUUGGUAGGUCAUUCCAUUACUCAGUGGAUAGGCUUUCAUUGUGAACCUUUCUAUAUUUUCCUAGGCUGAUCCUGGAAUACAUAAAAUCUGGGCCUUUUGAGGUUGAGAGUUUUGCCAGAUCUCCUAGACUUUGCUAGUAUUUGUAUUUCUUUGGCAGUCUUUUCACUAACUUCCUGUUGCCUCCAACUCAUACUGAGGCAUUGGAGAAAGACUGUGCUUGGGCCUAAAUCUCUUUGUGAUCCUAAAUGUAUAUGUCAGAGCUUAUAUGAUUUUUGGAGGAGAUUUGAUAUAGGCAGUUAGAAAUACCAAAGCUGAUAGGGCCCAGGGGUCCUCAAACUAUGUCCAGCGGGCUAGAUGCGGCAGCUGAGAACGAUUAUCCCCCUCACCCAGGCUAUGAAGUUUCUUUAUUUAAAGGCCCACAAAACAAAGUUUUUGUUUUUACUAUAGUCCGACCCUCCAACAGUCUGAGGGACAGUGAACUAGCCCCCUAUUUAAAAAGUUUGAGGACUCCUGUUUAGGCCUUGGGAAAACAAAGGUCAAACUAUUUUAAAGAAGGAGAAGAGGAGCAAGGAAGGGCUGUGAAGAAUGAGAAGGGAAGAGAAAAUGAAGGGGGAAUGAGGGGAAAAGAGUCAAGAGGAAAUAGAUGCAGAAAGAAUGACAAAAAAAAAAGCAGAGAAAAGAAAAGAGAAAAGAAGAGGAAAAAACAAAUAAGAAGACAAGGGAUCAAAGUUUUAUUGUUCUUUAUGUUCCUAACACCUAAACCUGUCAGUAUGAUCCCAUAUCCCUUCAAAACUCUGUGUCUUUUCACCAUUAUUCUCACUAUUAGAAACAAAGAACUUUAUUCUCAGAUACCUGCCUAGCCAAACUAACUUGGUCUCAAUUUUCAUAAGUAGUCAAAUUUAAUGUAUUAUUAUUCACUUGACAAAUAUGAACCUUCAUCUUGGGAGUCCUUUCAGCCACAAAAACCAGCAAGGUCCCCCUCUAGGAGUUCCUAGCUCCUUAAACUUCUGCUGACCCAGGUGCUGACUCCGAAAGAAAUAGAAGGAUGUGAUUGACUACCGUCUAAACAUUUCAGGUAUUGCCCGAUUUUCCAGUGUAUCUUAAAAAGCUUGAAAUGAGGAACAGCACAGAAUCAAACUAAGAAGAUGGAGGGUAUGUCAGUAUGACAAAGAAUGAGACAAUCCCUCUCAGAUUGUAGAGAAGGGCAUGAAUGUGAAGAGUUCUCAUUUAGAGACAAAGGGAAAAAAAGGUCUUGCAAGAAGGAUAUGGAGAAGGGAAAGACAUCUGGAGAGAGAGGAGCUGAAGAUAUGAAAAAAAAAAAACUAUAGAGGAAAUUCAUGAGCAUAUGAAGGGUCAUGAGAAAUUCCUGAAAGCAGAUGUCCAGAGGCAAACUGAUAAAAAGAACAAAUGAUGUUGAAAACUCAAAGAAAAUGGAAUGAACAAGAUGAUAGGAACAGCUUGGGCAUCAAUUGAAGAUCAGAGAACAGCAACUAAGAUGUGAAAUAAGGAAAAAGGAGAACAAAUCUCUAAAUGAGCAGUAGCUGCAUGGUUUAAAAAAAGUGGAAGAGAGGAAAUGAAAGCCUUUGAAAAAAAAGAAGCAGCAGAGAUCUGGGGAACUGGGGAGAUGAGAGAAAAUGUUCUGAGGGAUAAAGAACAGCUACAACUUAAGGGUUUACUGGAGGCAUAGUUGAGGAACUAUGACCAAUAGAAGGGUCUCCCUAUCUAACCCAAGUGGGAAAUGAAGUGUCACUUAUAGGCCAGACCCAACUAUUUACUGAUUGGCAUGGGAGCUUUUGAAUUACUCCAUUUCUUCUCUGGGCCAUUUUAACCAGGAGAUUUCCUCCUCCAAAGGUCUCAUUAAUAUUGGUGCUAGACUUAGUAUGGAACCCAAUUGGCCUUAGCCCACUGCAGUUCAGAAUUUCUGAACUUAAUUGAUCUGCUAGCAUCGGUCUUCCUGGUAACAAGAACAAUAAGUAUAUACUAUCAAACCCAGACAAGAGAAUAGCCUCUAAAAAUAUGUAGAAGAGACUGUUUUGGUUAUGAGAACAGAAUAGUUCAGCCAUGAAAUACAGGUGUAAUUACAAAAAAUGAGGAAAUUGAAACUAGUAGAUAAGAACAGCCAAAGAGUUAUGUAUGACAAAAAAAAGUGACAACUGAGAAGAGUGUGACAAGAUGCUGGAAUUGUCUAUAACAGAAAUGAAAGACUAGUACAGGAAAAAGGAGAAUCAAAGAAGACUGGAGCAGGGAGAAUGUAGCUGUGUGGACCUAUUUUCUCUGAGGAGAAAGAAAUAGAAGAUACUGGGAAGUAUGUGAUGAAGUCAUGAAAAGACAGAAAAGGAGAGGAGAAUGUAUGAAGAUGAUGAUAGGAUUAACAGAAACAGAAAACUGGAGAAACAAAACAAAUUGCUAAAGAGCUGUGAACAAAAGAGGAAGAAAAAGAAGCAAGUGAUACUGCAAUAAUUCAAAAAUCUUAUAAAAUAGGAAACUGAAGAGGACAUAGAAUAUAAAGGAGCAGGUUUAUGUAAAUAGCUGAAGAAUCAGAAAAAAAAAUAGAAAAGACAGGAGAAGACAAGACAAGAAUGGAGUAGGGAGUUGAGAGUGUCCAAGUAAUAAAACACAGAGAAGACAAGUAAAAGAUAUGAGAGUAGAGAAGGCAGGAGCAAAAAUUUUGAAAGUGUGAGGGACAACAAAAGAAAAUAACCAAAAAAGAACUCAUGAAUGAUAGAAGCAUAUGAAGAGUCCUGAAAAAAAUAAAAGGAACUAAAAAGAAAAGAAGAAAUGGAAAUUCUUGAAUAGCUGGGAAAAAAAAAAGAAAAGCCGGUGAAAAGGGGAAAUGUCAUUUAAACCUGAAGGUAAAAGACAAGGAAUCAUGAUUAAACGAGCAGAGCAGGAGGAGAAGGGAGAAUAUACAGGAACCAAGGAGAUAGGAGUUUUUAUGGAUCUUGAACAAUGGAGAAAGGAGAGACAAAGGAGAAAUGGAAGGUUGAAACAAAGCUAGGGAAAAAUGACAAUAGCUAAGAUAAUUGAAGAAACACAAGAGAUUGAAGUAGAAAAAUGAGAGCAGUUAAGGAGUUGUGAAUGGAGAAAAGAGCAGUUUGGAAGCCUUGGAGAAAAGCAAAGAGGAGAAAGAAGUUGAUGAGAAUGCAUCAGAGAAAUGGAAGCAUGGAGGGACCAAAGCAACAGAAUAAAGUUCCAUUGAGAAGAAGCAGAGGCUAUGGGAAUAGAAAAUGAGCACAGCUAAGGAGCUAUGAACAACAGAAAAGAGCUGAGGAGGAGGAAAGAGAAGUGUAGAUUAAAGCAGAUGAAGUAGAAUUAGGGAAAAAAUGAGAAGCAGAGCUGAGAACUGAAAAUCAGAACAGAUUGAAUCAGAAUGAAUUAAACAGUUGAAAAAGUCUGAGAGACAGAACAGCAGCUAAGGAAAAAGUCCAAGAAACAAUAAUUUAUUAAGCACGUGCCAGGCACUGUGCUCAGUAUUAAGGAUUUUUUCUUUAAAGGAAAAACAGAGGAAUUAGUGAAAACAACCAGAGAGAGAGAGUAGUAACUGAAGGAUUAUCUAUUAUAGAGGAAAGAAAAGAGUAGUAAAAAUUAAAGCAGGCUAAGAGCUAUGAAAAUCAAAAGAGGAUCAGAGGAAAAUGAAGAGGCAAAGGAGAAAAAGAAAAUGAACACAGAACAUUGAGAAACUCCUCAAAACAGAACAACUAAGGAGAAAGAAGCAGACAAAAGUGCAGCAGAAACACAAUAGCAGCUGAAGGGGCCUACAUAACAGAUGAAAGAAAAUCUAUAAAGGGGAAGGCUAGGCUUCUGAAACCUGAGUUUUGGGAGCAGCCAAAAAACCAAGAGUAGAAAAACUUCCAAAGAAAGGUGAUGGGAAGUGACAGAAAAGCUGUGAAAGGAAAAAGAAAAGCAAUGGAAAUUUAAUCAAGUAAUGAAAUCAGGUAAUUCAACAAAAAAUUGUUGAAUUAAGAAAAUGAAAUCAAAGGGAGCAGUAAAAGAACCAAGAACAGAAUGAACAGAACUGAGAAGAAAGGAUAAGCCAAAGAUAAUAGAACAGAAAAUUGGGAAGUGACUGAGUAGUUGUGGAAAAUAAAAAGAGAUGAAAAGAGACAAAGAUUAAUGGAAUGAUAAUACCAACCAGAGCUGCUAAGGAAAUUAGAAUGAGGAGAUUGGAGGCACUUAAGAACAGGAUACAAUUGAGAACAAAGAAGUAAAGGGGACUUCAAAGUUGAUAGAAGUGAAGAAAAUCUGUCAAGUCAAAGAAGACAAACUAUUGUGACAAAAAGCAGCAUCUAAAAUUUGAAAGAAAUGGUAGUUAGGAAACCAAAGCUUCAUCUGUAUACAGAAGGAAUUCUGCAAUGUAUGAAGGAUCUCUUAAAAAUCCUUCCCUUCAAUAUCUCUUUACCACCCUUCCCUCAACAUGCUCACCUAGAUAAUGGAGGCUUCCUCAGGGGUUGUGAUAGAGGACAGUGUCCUCUCAGCAUGAGAUGGUAUUCUUUUUCUGAUAAGACUUAGAGACUCAACACUAUCUCACUUCCCUGACCCCAGCAUGUCGGUGUUCAGAGCAGACCAUUCCUCACAGCUGUUCCCAUCUGAAGAAGCAAGUGAAAGCUGAAGUGAUGACCAGGGACCCAGUAGUCCCUCUUCCUUCUCCAGUGUGUUCAUAUUUUGUCUGCAUUUACCCCACUAUUUGCUUCUAAUUACUCUUUUUAGUCUCUCACAUUUUUCAUUUGCUGUUCUUUGUUCCUCCUCUUUCACCUCUUGCCAUACACUCUAGUCCUCUUGUUUAAAUGAGUCUCCUUUUCAAGUGAUUCCAACACAGUAGCACCCAUCCCAGCUAAUGUGUGAUUCCUGCAUCCUCUGUUGCUUCUCUUUCACAAGCUCAUUCUAUUGUAAUGAUUCAUGUAACUACAAUUUCUAAAUUUCCUUGUUCCUCCUUCCAUUGUCCUUUAUUUCUACAUUUUGUCUUGUUUCCAUUGCUUCAACUGUCACUUUAUUUUGUAUUUCUCUAUUACCUCCUUAGCCCAGCUCUGAAUUUUUAGCUGCCCCAACCCUUAAAAAUUCUAUAUUCCUCCUUUCCAAGCCCCCCUUUUUAAUUCACUCAAAUAUGUUUACAAGUUGUGUUCCAAUGCCUCAUUAUAGUAUGGAAAUGACUCUUGGUUUUUAAAGUAACAUGCUGGCAUGGUGCCAAGUCUGCUAGGACCUACCAUGUUCAAAUAUAUUUUCAACUCAAAAUUAUCUAAUUUCCAAGAAGCAUUCAGGGUUUGAGAAUAAGAAAUGAAAGAUCAGGGUCUUGUAGACUACAGAAACUCAUCCCUAUGUAUUAUAAAUUCAUUCUUCAAAUUGGGCAUACUCAGAUAAUUGGGAGAGCAUUAAGAAUACAAAAUUAAUUUUACCAGCCAGGAAAUGAGGUUUGCUGAUGCUGGAAUCAUACUUGAAUUAGCUGUCUUUCUGCAGUGAAAUGGCUUGUAAGAGUGUUAAGGGACAGGUCAAUUCUCUGAGAGCCUCCACAGCUGUGGAUCAUAACAUCUGAAGGAGUUGAAAGUCAGCCUUAGCUGACACAGGUAUUGUGGACUGGGAAUGAAAUCGAUUGGGAGGCAGAGGGAAGAAGAGAGAGGUCAGACAAAGCAACUGCUUCUCAGUCUCCUUGUAUCAUUCUCUCACAAGAGGAUAUCCAUUCUGGGUUGGAUCUCCAGUAGUCACUGUCAGGUGGCUCUCAUGAAUUCUAAGAGCUCUCCUGUGUCUUUCAACAUUAGAGCAAAAGAAAAUCUGUAUCCAUUUAUAAGAAAGAAUAUAAAUGAAGAAAUGAUGCACAAUUGAGAUGAUUCCAUAUAAAUUACUGAUGCUUCAAGUGGGAAAUGAAUAAAUAGACAUUAAAUCAUUAUUUCCUGAAGAAAUUUAAAUGAGAGAAAUUACCAUUGUUGCCAAAAUAGUCCAUAAACUUCAGCCAGAAACCAUUUGAUCUCUUAAACAGAUCAAUAAACUAAACAUGUCAGUUUAGAAUAAACAUUAAUUUGCAAGAUUUUCCAGAUAAAAGAUGGCAUAAUGAGAAGUAAUGGCUUAUAAAACAGAAGCAAUGGCAGAAAAAAUUAGAAAAAGUUAAGAAAUCUAAGAAAAGCUCACCAAAGGCACCGAAGAAUGCAAUUAGGACAACAGGCAAAAAUUGAAAAAGAUUUUAAUUUCUUUAAUACUUCAUCAAAGACAGCCACUCCAUUUGGAGUCAUUUAUGAAUUCUUUACAGAUAUUAAAAAUAAAAUUUAAAAGCAAUCAAAAAAAUCUUAAAGGAUAAAAAUGGCGUGCAAUUGAGGCAACUAAGCCUAAUAAGCUGCUGUUGCUCAAAAAUCAAAUAAGUAAAUAUUGAAAAACACUAUUUUCUAAAGAAAUUUAAAUCACUUGGAAAUAUGAGACCAAAAGAACAGUAACUUGAGCCAUCAAAUAACAAAAUUUCCUUGCUAAGAAGAAAAAUGGGACAGCCAGCUUAUAGUUUCUAACUUCUGAAAGAUAAGAUGUUUUAAGAAAUGACUCAUAAGCAAUGAAGAAAAGUUGAGAGAAUGAAAAAUCAUUUGAAGGGUAUUUGACUACCUUAUGGAAUAAAUUAUCUUCAAUGACAGUCAUCACAUUUGGAUUUUGACAUGAUCUUCAAUAUAAUGCAUGAAAAAAAAUUGAAGCACUAAAAAGAUGUCAAUAGAAUUGCUGGAUCAGAAUGUAUAUAGGCAGAAGAGAUCUUUAUUGAGGGUAACAUGAUUUUGAAGAUGUGGAGGAACUGAGAUUUGAAAUUUCUGAAAGAGUUGAUACUAAGUAUAUGUGGGAAAAGAUCUUUGACUUUUUAAAAAAGAUUCAUAAAGUAUCAAUAUACUUAUCUAUAUUCUUUUCCAAUCUCUACAGUCUUUAUGGAAACAAUAUAUGCACAGCAAGGCAUCCUUGAUGAGUGAAAAGGGAAAAGGCCUUUGCAACAAUGUUCCACAACAAAUAACAGCUGCUUAGUGAUAGAAUUUAUUGAAAGGUGCAGAAAAUAUGAAAUAUCACUUUGUUGCUUGUUGACUAUGAACACAUUUGAUUUGAAUUACUUGUUACCAUACAGGUUUUCUUCUGGCAAGAUAUCUCCCACAUAAGUCAAAACUGUACAAACUAGAUAACAAUAGAGGCAUUUUUGUUUCAUGAUAUAUCAAACAAGAAAUUGUGUUUUGAAAAGUAUUUGUCACUAUCAUGGAUCCAUGUAAAGUUGAAACUAAAAAGAGAUUCCUAUGAGAUUUUGCAAAUAUUCCCAUUUGUAAAUUAUUGAAAUCCAUUUAGAUUACUCAACUCUAGCAACAUUUAUGCAACUAUAUCUACUCAAAAUAAUGUGAAUGAUGGGCCAUCUGUAUGUGUGAUUCAUCCAGCUGCAUAUUGUGAUUAUGACCACAGGAACUCUUUAUUUUUUCCCAUUUAUCAAAAGUUAGAAUUGACUGCUUUUAUUACUGAUCUCAUUUAGGAGUCAAAACAGUGUUUCUACUCACAGAAUUGUAUGAGAAGAUGACAUCUGAUGAUAUCCCAACCUCACUCUGAAUCAAAGGCCUAGAUUUUAAAAUCAAUAUUAUUCUAGUGAUGCUUUGUGCUUCUGAGACAUACCAUGCCACAAUCUCUGAAAAAUGAAAGUUUCAGGAUAGCCAGCUGACAUUAGAGAAUGCAUUCUUCUCAAUCAUAGAGAAUGAAGAAGGUUGCAAUUUAUCCCCAGUGGAAGAGUGCAGUGUAAUAGUGUAAAAGUAUGGCUGAAGAAAAGUGGCAGGCUGGUAAUGGGACAAAAUGUAGAAAUAACUGAUAGAAAAGUUGGGGACUGCUGCUGCUUUUACCUCCCCUCUCCUACCCCAAUCAUAAGUUUCAUAGUGCCCCCAUGGAGAAUUUCUGGAAGGACAAAGACAAGAAUUGGUCUGAAUAGAAGAUGUAUAUAAGCUGAAAAUUGCACCACUAGAAAUAUCCACAUGAGUGAGCUUAAUUCAAUGAUCCACUUAUCUGCUAUCUUUAAUUCUUUUUAACUUGGCUUCUUCAUCCUUCUUAGCUCCUAUCUAUACACUCACAUUUUCAUAGCUUUCUCAGAUCCUUUCAUAGCUUCAGUUCUUCAGUUACUUUUAUCUCUAAUUCAAUUCUGCCCAGUACUAAAAUUUCUUUUGCUGCUUCCUCACAAUACAUAGAUUUAGUGAUGGAAAGCACUUUAGAUAUCAUUUAGUAGUUGUACUACUAGUUAUGAUUGAAUCCUAAUUACUCCUUUAUAAACUGUUCACUAUCCAACUUAUGUUGUACUUUUUGGUUCUCUUGCUUCCAUCAUCUUUGUCUUCUAACCUUGCCCAAGCAAUUACCUUCUCUCCUAACUUUCUCCUCUAAUACAGUCUUAUGCCAGCAUUUACCUUUCCAUCUCUUUUGAGGCUAUCAGAUCAAUAUUAUUGUUGCCCCUCCUCUCUGUCUUUCUCCCUUUCCCUUGUUCUUUUCCUCCCUUUUAUAUCUCCUCCUCUCCCUUCACUCUUUACCUCUUUUUUCUUUCUCUUUCACCCUGUUCUUUUCCCUUUGUCCCUCUCCUUCCCUCUCCUUUCACAUUCCUUUCUUUCCCUCCCCUUUCUCCAUCUCUCCCCUUCUCUUUUUGGCCUACUUUACCCUCCUUCCCUAUUUUAUAUUCUGUCUCAGUGCUGCCUUUAUCUCCCCCUUUCUAUUUCUUACCUCUCCUUUCCUUUCUUUCUCUUCUCUUUUCCAUCUCCUUUCCUUCUUUUUCUCUUCCUCACCCCCUCACUGUCAGUGGUAUGUUUUUCUUUAGUUUCAGGCACCACUUCCAUUCCUUUUAUGUCAGGUUUUUUCUUUGCAUUAGAUAGUCUCCAUCACACUAUCUCCUUUUAAAUGGACCAUAUCUUCUCAGCUCCUCACCUAUUCCAUUUUUCUUCUAUCAUCUUAGCUGAUUGUCUGCUUCUGUUGCCAAUUUGUCCAACUCCUUAGCCCAGACAUCUCCUUAACUGCUCCCACUCACUUUGCUGCUUCUAGCUAAACCUUUUGAUUGCAAAUUGUCCUCAUUACUGGAAGCUAUUUCUGGUUUCUCAGUUUAAUUUACCUGCCUCCAUUUCUAAUCUUUCCCCUCAGCUUUUCCUAUGUCCUCUGCUCCACCCUCUUCCAUAAUUACUCCAAUCUCCUAAAAUUCAUUCCUUCAAAUCUUUGCAUAUAUUUAGUUCCUCUAAUUUCAUUAACCUCUUCUCACUCAUCAAUUUUUCUUAUUUCCUCCUACAUCCUUAAUUUUUUCUUAACUUUUUGUCAUUUAUUCAGUUUUAUCUCUUCUAGAUUUUUCCCUCUGUUUUUGCUACUCAACUUUUAUCUCUUCUGCUUCUUACUUCAGAAAAUCCUACCUUCUCAGAUAUUCUUGUUUCUUAGUAUUUCUCAUCAGUUCUUCCUACAACGUCAAUUUCUCACACCAUUUCUUCAGGUCUUCACUCAGUAUUUAGUCUUAUACAUUUUUCUUUCCUAUCGAUUUUGUCCAAAUCCUUAGCAGUUCUUCACAUCAUUUACUAUAGCAGCAGUUACACAAUUUCCAUUCCAAACAAUUUUUUUUUCAUAAGCAUCCCUCAUAAACUUCACAUUAUUAUUAUUUUUUCUUUAUCUUCUUUGUUCUCUGCUGUUCUCAUUUCGGGUGUUUCUCUCCCUUCUAUUGCUUCCAUUUCCUUAGUUUCUCUUCUCAUCUUUAAUGUUUUUUUAUUCUUAAGCUAUCCCUCUCUUUAAUAUUUCUCCUCUAGAUUUCUAGAUUGAUAGAUUUUUCUUUCAUUUCUUCUAUGCUCUCUGGGUCUAUUUUCUAUCUCUGUCCCUGUCUCUCAUCUCCCUCUUUGUUGUGUCUGUCUCUCUGCCUUUCUAUUUUUUUCUCUACCUCUGUGUCUGUCUGUCUGUAACUAAUUGCCUCACUUCUAUUUCCCUUACCUUUGCUUCUUCCUCCAUUGCUGUUCCUGUCUCUUUUGUAUGCCAAUCAAGUUAAUCACAUAUCCAUUCCAUUUUUAUCUUUUUUUCUUUGUUGUUCUUAUCAUCCAUCUCAGAUCUACAAUAGCCAUGGGCAGUUGGAUUUUUCCCCAAGGUGAAACAUGCAGAAAGCAUAAAAUUUAGAAUGCACAAAAAUGCUACAUGCAGACUAGAAAGAAAUAAGGGGAAUUCAGAUACUAAAUGAGGAUCAAAGGUCCUCAGAGGUACUGAUGGCAGGAGGAAGAGAAAUGUGGGAUAUCAGGCAGGUGUGUGGAUGGAAAACAAAUGUCUAAUGAUUUCUUCCUUGCCUUUUGGUCCUAUAAAAUAAUCCCCAAUCCACCUCACUAUUCUUGCCUAUAUUUCCUCUUUUUACGCAGUUCAGUAAUAACUCCCACCAAAGAUGAGAAAUAACCUUGCUGCUGAUUUCUUUCAUAUGUAAAUGAGACCUCUUUGAUAGAGUAUAAAGAAUAUGGGAUGCUAAAUGGGUUACAACUAGAGUUCCCUUAAGUUACUACCUCUUCCAUUCUUAACAGUUCUUAUUUCUUAACUCUUCAUUUCUUUAGCUGUUCCCAUUUCCUCUUUACAUUUGUUCAGUUUCUUCCCUUUUCUCUUCUUCAUAAUUUUCUUAUAUUUCCUAAAGAAGUCCCAGUUCAUUUCCUUCUUCCACCUCAUUUUUUAUGCUCUGUUUUCCUAUCUUCUGCUCAGUGACUCUCAGCCCCUUGCCUUUUCCCAACUCUUUAGAUCUUCUGAGAUAAUAUUUGUAAAGCACUUAGUCAAGUGCCUGAUACAUAGACAAUGCCUAAUAAAUUUCUUCCUUCCUAUUCCCUCAA
This is a long non-coding RNA of Antechinus flavipes (yellow-footed antechinus), 10841 nucleotides long. RefSeq lists it as uncharacterized. The transcript has 4 exons. The record is from RefSeq and is a predicted model, not a curated record. Lineage: Eukaryota; Metazoa; Chordata; Mammalia; Dasyuromorphia; Dasyuridae.